GACGAACGCUGGCGGCGUGCUUAACACAUGCAAGUCGAACGGUGAAGCGCCUUCCUUUUUGGUGGGUGUGGAUGAGUGGCGAACGGGUGAGUAACACGUGAGUAACCUGCCCCCUUCUUCUGGAUAACCGCAUGAAAGUGUGGCUAAUACGGGAUAUUCUGGGUCUGUCGCAUGAUGGGUCUGGGAAAGAUAUUGUUUCGGUGGGGGAUGGGCUCGCGGCCUAUCAGCUUGUUGGUGGGGUGAUGGCCUACCAAGGCGGUGUCGGGUAGCCGGCCUGAGAGGGUGGACGGUCACACUGGGACUGAGACACGGCCCAGACUCCUACGGGAGGCAGCAGUGGGGAAUAGUGCACAAUGGGCGCAAGCCUGAUGCAGCGACGCCGCGUGAGGGAUGGAGGCCUUCGGGUUGUGAACCUCUUUCGCCAGUGAAGCAGGCCUGCCUCGUUUGUGGGUGGGUUGACGGUAGCUGGAUAAGAAGCGCCGGCUAACUACGUG
Molecule: ribosomal RNA, 494 nt
Filed under: uncultured bacterium
Lineage: Bacteria
Description: partial 16S ribosomal RNA
Rfam family: Bacterial small subunit ribosomal RNA
Source: RNAcentral